CCUACGGGAGGCAGCAGUGGGGGAUAUUGCACAAUGGGCGAAACCCUGAUGCAGCGACGCCGCGUGUGGGAAGACGGUCCUCUGGAUUGUAAACCACUGUUCCCAGGGACGAAGAUGACGGUACCUGGGGAGGAAGCUCCGGCUAACUACGUGCCAGCCGCCGCGGUAAUACGUAGGGAGCGAGGGUUGACCGGAAUUACUGGCUGUAAAGGGAGUGUUGGCGGGGAUGGAAGUUGCGUGUAAAAUCUACCGGCUCAACUGGUAGUCGCUCUCAAAACUGCAGCUCUUGAGUGAAGUAGAGGCAGGCGGAAUGCCUGGUGUAGCGGUGAAAUGCGUAGAUAUUAGGCGGAACACCAGUGGCGAAGGCAGCCUGCUGAGCUUUUACUGACGCUGAGGCUCGAAAGUGUGGGGAGCAAACAGGAUUAGAUACCCCAGUAGUC
RNAcentral lists this ribosomal RNA (440 nucleotides) under uncultured bacterium. Its description in RNAcentral is "partial 16S ribosomal RNA". It matches the Rfam family "Bacterial small subunit ribosomal RNA", at positions 338 to 795 of the family's 1533-position model. The record is from RNAcentral.